CAAUAGCGUAUAUUAAAGUUGCUGCAGUUAAAACGCUCGUAGUUGUUGUCCAGCUAUACGUUUCACACACAUCAUGUGCGCGAAGCAACUAGUUUUGCUGAAAUUCUAUUUCGGCCAAAACCUUGAGGAAAGAUUAGUGUUCCAAGCAUCUCUAUCUGUCCUCCGCAGCAUGGUAUUCAACCCAAUCGAGGAAGAUUGUCGAGUCUUCCCAAGCCUAAAUAGAAAUUCAUGGAGGUAUACGUACUUCAAUGUCAGAGGUGAAAUUCCUAGAUUUUUGAAAGACGGUCAGUUGCGAAGGCGUUCACCAAGCGACUUUUCUUUGA
RNAcentral lists this ribosomal RNA (323 nucleotides) under uncultured eukaryote. RNAcentral's name for it is "partial 18S ribosomal RNA". It matches the Rfam family "Eukaryotic small subunit ribosomal RNA", at positions 592 to 976 of the family's 1831-position model. The record is from RNAcentral.